RNAcentral lists this unclassified non-coding RNA (175 nucleotides) under uncultured Ascomycota. Its description in RNAcentral is "sequence contains ITS1". Lineage: Eukaryota; Fungi; Ascomycota. The record is from RNAcentral.
AAGAGCGAAGGGAGUCGAGGGUAGAAAUACCCUCUUCGCCCGACCUCCAACCCUUUGUUGUACUUACCACGUUGCCUCGGGGUGGUGUUCCGCUGCUUAACCGCGACAGGACCAGCCCUGGUGGAAUCUCAUACACUGUUUUACCUUGAAGUCUGAGUAAAACAUAAAUCAUACA